GACGAACCGUGCGAGCGUUGUUCGGAAUCACUGGGUUUAAAGGGCGCGUAGGCGGGCUGUCAAGUCGGUGGUGAAAUCGUUCCGCUCAACGGGACAAUGGCCUUCGAUACUGGCGGUCUGGAGGGAGGUAGGGGCAUGCGGAACUUCCGGUGGAGCGGUGAAAUGCGUAGAUAUCGGAAGGAACACCGAUGGCGAAAGCAGCGUGCUGGACCUUUUCUGACGCUGAGGCGCGAAAGCCAGGGGAGCAAACGGG
This 253-nucleotide ribosomal RNA is filed under the name uncultured bacterium. RNAcentral describes it as "partial 16S ribosomal RNA". It matches the Rfam family "Bacterial small subunit ribosomal RNA", at positions 524 to 776 of the family's 1533-position model. The record is from RNAcentral.